This 74-nucleotide transfer RNA is filed under the name Prevotella sp. Its description in RNAcentral is "tRNA-Ile". It matches the Rfam family "tRNA". From Rfam's summary of the family: Transfer RNA (tRNA) molecules are approximately 80 nucleotides in length. Their secondary structure includes four short double-helical elements and three loops (D, anti-codon, and T loops). Further hydrogen bonds mediate the characteristic L-shaped molecular structure. tRNAs have two regions of fundamental functional importance: the anti-codon, which is responsible for specific mRNA codon recognition, and the 3' end, to which the tRNAs corresponding amino acid is attached (by aminoacyl-tRNA synthetases). tRNAs cope with the degeneracy of the genetic code in two manners: having more than one tRNA (with a specific anti-codon) for a particular amino acid; and 'wobble' base-pairing, i.e. permitting non-standard base-pairing at the 3rd anti-codon position. The record is from RNAcentral. RNAcentral also lists the same sequence under 3 other names. Lineage: Bacteria; Pseudomonadati; Bacteroidota; Bacteroidia; Bacteroidales; Prevotellaceae.
GGGCUUAUAGCUCAGUUGGUUAGAGCAACAGACUCAUAAUCUGGAGGUCCCAGGUUCAAGCCCUGGUUGGCCCA